GACGAACGCUGGCGGCGUGCUUAACACAUGCCAGUCGAACGGAAAGGCCCUGCUUGCAGGGUACUCGAGUGGCGAACGGGUGAGUAACACGUGGGUGAUCUGCCCUGCACUUCGGGAUAAGCCUGGGAAACUGGGUCUAAUCCCGGAUAGGAGCCAUUUUUAGUGUGAUGGUUGGAAAGUUUUUUCGGUGUAGGAUGAGCUCGCGGCCUAUCAGCUUGUUGGUGGGGUAAUGGCCUACCAAGGCGGCGACGGGUAGCCGGCCUGAGAGGGUGGACGGCCACAUUGGGACUGAGAUACGGCCCAGACUCCUACGGGAGGCAGCAGUGGGGAAUAUUGCACAAUGGGCGCAAGCCUGAUGCAGCGACGCCGCGUGGGGGAUGACGGCCUUCGGGUUGUAAACUCCUUUCGCUAGGGACGAAGCUUUUGUGACGGUACCUAGAUAAGAAGCACCGGCUAACUACGUG
RNAcentral lists this ribosomal RNA (464 nucleotides) under uncultured bacterium. Its description in RNAcentral is "partial 16S ribosomal RNA". It matches the Rfam family "Bacterial small subunit ribosomal RNA", at positions 28 to 507 of the family's 1533-position model. The record is from RNAcentral.